AGAGUUUGAUCCCUGGCUCAGGACGAACGCUGGCGGCGUGCCUAACACAUGCAAGUCGAGCGAGGAACUUCGGUUCCUAGCGGCGGACGGGUGAGUAACACGUGGGUAACCUGCCUUGUAGAGGGGGAUAGCCUUCCGAAAGGAAGAUUAAUACCGCAUAACAUUAUUUUAUCGCAUGAUAGAAUAAUCAAAGGAGCAAUCCGCUACAAGAUGGACCCGCGGCGCAUUAGCUAGUUGGUGAGGUAACGGCUCACCAAGGCGACGAUGCGUAGCCGGCCUGAGAGGGUGAACGGCCACAUUGGAACUGAGACACGGUCCAGACUCCUACGGGAGGCAGCAGUGGGGAAUAUUGCACAAUGGGCGAAAGCCUGAUGCAGCAACGCCGCGUGAGUGAUGAAGGCCUUCGGGUUGUAAAGCUCUGUCUUCUGGGACGAUAAUGACGGUACCAGAGGAGGAAGCCACGGCUAACUACGUGCCAGCAGCCGCGGUAAUACGUAGGUGGCAAGCGUUGUCCGGAUUUACUGGGCGUAAAGGAUGCGUAGGCGGAUAUUUAAGUGAGAUGUGAAAUUCCCGGGCUUAACUUGGGAGCUGCAUUUCAAACUGGGUAUCUAGAGUGUGGGAGAGGAAAGUGGAAUUCCUAGUGUAGCGGUGAAAUGCGUAGAGAUUAGGAAGAACCCCAGUGGCGAAGGCGACUUUCUGGACCAUAACUGACGCUGAGGCAUGAAAGCGUGGGGAGCAAACAGGAUUAGAUACCCUGGUAGUCCACGCCGUANACGAUGAAUACUAGGUGUGGGAGUUGUCAUGACUUCCGUGCCGCAGUUAACACAAUAAGUAUUCCGCCUGGGGANNNCGGUCGCAA
RNAcentral lists this ribosomal RNA (859 nucleotides) under uncultured bacterium. Its description in RNAcentral is "bacterial SSU rRNA". It matches the Rfam family "Bacterial small subunit ribosomal RNA", at positions 8 to 891 of the family's 1533-position model. The record is from RNAcentral.